This 490-nucleotide ribosomal RNA is filed under the name uncultured bacterium. RNAcentral describes it as "partial 16S ribosomal RNA". It matches the Rfam family "Bacterial small subunit ribosomal RNA", at positions 355 to 849 of the family's 1533-position model. The record is from RNAcentral.
UGGGGAAUAUUGCACAAUGGGCGAAAGCCUGAUGCAGCGACGCCGCGUGAGGGAUGACGGCCUUCGGGUUUGUAAAACCUCUUUCAGCAGGGAAGAAGCGAAACGUGACGGUACCUGCAGAAGAAGCGCCGGCUAACUACGUGCCAGCAGCCGCGGUAAUACGUAGGGCGCAAGCGUUGUCCGGAAUUAUUGGGCGUAAAGAGCUCGUAGGCGGUUAGUCGCGUCUGCUGUGAAAAUCUCGAGGCUCAACCUCGGGCUUGCAGUGGGUACGGCUGACUAGAGUGCGGUAGGGGAUGACUGGAAUUCCUGGUGUAGCGGUGGAAUGCGCAGAUAUCAGGAGGAACACCGAUGGGCGAAGGCAGGUCACUGGGCCGCAACUGACGCUGAGGAGCGAAAGCAUGGGGAGCGAACAGGAUUAGAUACCCUGGUAGUCCAUGCCGUAAACGUUGGGCACUAGGCUGUGGGGUCCAUUCCACGGAUUCCGUGCCGC